AGCUGCAGCCUAGAGCUGCACACGCACUAGCACUUCCUGCCGACGCGGCAGUUGAGCGCGCCGGCGUACCUGGUGAGCGACUCGGCGUACUGGCCGCCCUUGGCCUGGAUGAGGUCGAGCCUGUCGUACUUGCGCUCGUUCUGGCCGCCGGACUGGUUGAAGAAGGCGCCGUUGAGGAACAGGUCGUCCUGCGACUUCCACACCCAGUUCUUGUACUCGCUGUACUGCGUGUACUCCCGCUUGGUCACCUCCUUGAACCUGCUGUCGUCGACGGCGCGGAAGCGGUUGCCCUGGCUGAUGAUGGUGGGGUUCCGGCUGCCGCCGAUGGCGUACAUGAGCCAGUGCGUGUAGUCGUUGUUCACCACGUGGAAGAAGCCGUGACGGCAGCGCGGCAUCCGCUGCACCAGCCCCUUGCCGAAGUGGUUGAAGGCGACGGUGACCUGCAUCUCCCUGUCCUUGGACGCGGCGUCGCUGGCCCCGAACAGCAUAACGUGGUCGUGCCUCGUGAAGUGGCCGUUGGAGACGGUGAUGGCGGUGGAGCCGUCCACCGCGUCCACCAGCCCGUCCGCGCAGCUGCUCAUGGACAGGUGGUCGAUCCAGAUAUCGCUGGACCCCAUCACGGAGACGCCGUCGCCGUCGCUCUCCCCGCGCACGCCCCAGUGGUGCUGCGAGUCCCGGAUCGCGCCGCCGCCGUGCGCCGCGGCGUCGUGGACGUGCAGGUUGUGGAGGAUCACGUUGCGCACGUUCUGCAGCGUGAUCUGCGCGCCCACGAUGUGCACCUGCGCUCCGCGCCCGUCGAUGGUCUUGUCGCUGCUCACGAUGAGCUCCUGGCAGAGCUCGAUCACCAUGUCGCGCGCGAAGGUGAUCCACAGCGCCCGGGCCCGGGUCACGGCGUGCCGGAGCGUGCCCUUCCUGGGGGUGACGAGGUCGGCGGCGUCGUCGCUGGGGUCAAUCACCACGUAGAACUUGCCGGCCAGCCCGCCGGUGGUCCUGUGGCCGAAGCCCAUGGCGCACCUGGCCAGGCGCUUGCGGUCGCGGGCCCAGUCGCGGCGGCACCGCCAGCACUGGUCGAUGGGGUUGGUCGCCGUGCAGGGGCCCCGCGCCCUGUGCGCCAGGGACCGCGACCGCGUCGCCGUCGCCCUGUGCACGCCGUCGUUGAAGCGCUGCACGACGGCCACGGGGUCGGUCUGGUACGCCGCGCGGUUGUACGCGUGCGCCGCCUCCGCGCGCUCCGCCCAGUACUCCUGGUUAGCGGUGAGGUUGACGAGAUGCGCGUACGCCUCGUCGAUGGCGGCGUCGGUCGGCGUCGCCGCGGCGGUGGCGGGCACGGCGGCGAGGAUGUAGAGGAGGACGGACAGGGGGCUCCUCAGGACGGCGGAGCCUGCCAUUUUACUGACGAUCGAUCCUAGCUAUAUAUAUAUAUUAUUAAUUGGUUGGGGCUCGGUGGUGAGCGUGAGCCCCGGGGCGACGUGCGCCGGCUUGGCUCACCGCGGCGAGGGGCUCAGGCCUCACGGAGAAGUGUUACUUCUUCGAAAGGAUGCUGAGCCCGCCCCGGUGAGCGGACAUGAGCGAGGUGGAGGGAGCCGGCG
Molecule: unclassified non-coding RNA, 1589 nt
Filed under: Zea mays
Lineage: Eukaryota; Viridiplantae; Streptophyta; Magnoliopsida; Poales; Poaceae
Description: misc RNA Zm00001eb270520
Source: RNAcentral